Long non-coding RNA from Oncorhynchus tshawytscha (Chinook salmon), 1182 nucleotides. NCBI's taxonomy places the organism in Eukaryota, Metazoa, Chordata, Actinopteri, Salmoniformes, Salmonidae. The record is from Ensembl.
CACCUUCAAUCUCAUGUUAAUCGCAUUAGCCUACUUUAGCUCAAUCGACCCAACGAUCCUGAAGAAGUUAAAGCCAUCAUCAACAGCAGCGUGGAAGAAUGGAAGAACAGUCUAGCUUACUACUGUACAGUUCCCAUUCAUUUGAUCUACUAAGUGGAGUGUGACAGUGGGGGCACCUUUCCAUCCCUUUCCUGCUCCUUCAGUAAUCAAGGUAUUUAUCUUAAGUCUACUAGCUACAUGGCCUGGUUUUGUGGUUGUGUCCAUUUGUGUGGCUCUCACUAACUCCAUGGUGUUGAAUCCACUCAAUGGGUAAGUUGUGUGUGUGUACUGCUUCUGCAAACUUUACAUUAUGGCCAGCCAGGCAUCCAGCUUAGGAUGCUCCUCCAUUGUUCAUGAAUUCACUCACAAACACACAAACACUCAACGUGUACAUGGUCAUCCACCUGAACUCAACCCUGUUGGUGCUGUCCUCUAUUGAGUUGAACCUGUCCUUUAUUGAAGCUGGGUUGUGUUCAUUAGUGCACACAUCAUAACAAAAUGUGUUGCAACCAAGGGGAAAAAAGCUUUUAAUAUUGCACAAGUUCAGAUAGUUUUCUACUUUCUGUUUCUCAGUGUUUCUUCUGUGUUGUGCCUUAUGAACAUUACCCCGUCCUUUACUGACUUCUUCUCUGUAGUGGCCUGUUGUUGUUAUUGUUGUAUUGACCAUGUUGUCUUCUGUUGAUAUUUCCCCAGCGGCCUGGCUGCUUUGGGCCGGGCUGUGAGGUGGUGGUGGUGGUCUCUGGGGGCUGGUCUAGGCGGAGAGGUAGAGGCAGGAGGAGCCUGCAGUGGCUGUGGGUGUUGCCCAUGUCAAGCCACGCCCGGGGCCUGGCGGGGGCUGAGUACAUAACAGCUGAGCUGGACUGCUCUGCCCUCCCUACAGACUCUGGUAGGAGGCAGCCAAGCAACGGCAACAGACCCAGGAACAGGUGAAGAAUGGAUGAAGGGGGACGACACACAGAGAGACACACGCAUGGCUGGGGUACAGUACUGUCCUACAACAAGCAGACUUAACAUCCCCUAACUAAACACACACAUGGCUGGGGUACAGUACUGUCCUACAACAAGCAGACUUAACAUCCCCUAACUAAACACACACAUGGCUGGGGUACAGUACUGUCCUACAACAAGCAGACUUAACAUCCC